Molecule: ribosomal RNA, 465 nt
Filed under: Vreelandella stevensii
Lineage: Bacteria; Pseudomonadati; Pseudomonadota; Gammaproteobacteria; Oceanospirillales; Halomonadaceae
Description: partial 16S ribosomal RNA
Rfam family: Bacterial small subunit ribosomal RNA
Source: RNAcentral
CCUACGGGCGGCUGCAGUGGGGAAUAUUGGACAAUGGGCGAAAGCCUGAUCCAGCCAUGCCGCGUGUGUGAAGAAGGCCUUCGGGUUGUAAAGCACUUUCAGUGGGGAAGAAAGCCUUGGGGCUAAUACCCUCGAGGAAGGACAUCACCCACAGAAGAAGCACCGGCUAACUCCGUGCCAGCAGCCGCGGUAAUACGGAGGGUGCGAGCGUUAAUCGGAAUUACUGGGCGUAAAGCGCGCGUAGGCGGUCUGAUAAGCCGGUUGUGAAAGCCCCGGGCUCAACCUGGGAACGGCAUCCGGAACUGUCAGGCUAGAGUGCGGGAGAGGAAGGUAGAAUUCCCGGUGUAGCGGUGAAAUGCGUAGAGAUCGGGAGGAAUACCAGUGGCGAAGGCGGCCUUCUGGACUGACACUGACGCUGAGGUGCGAAAGCGUGGGUAGCAAACAGGAUUAGAUACCCUAGUAGUC